RNAcentral lists this ribosomal RNA (492 nucleotides) under uncultured bacterium. Its description in RNAcentral is "partial 16S ribosomal RNA". It matches the Rfam family "Bacterial small subunit ribosomal RNA", at positions 30 to 523 of the family's 1533-position model. The record is from RNAcentral.
AUUGAACGCUGGCGGCAUGCUUUACACAUGCAAGUCGAACGGUAACAGGUUAAGCUGACGAGUGGCGAACGGGUGAGUAAUGCAUCGGAACGUGCCCGGUCGUGGGGGAUAACGCAGCGAAAGCUGCGCUAAUACCGCAUACGAUCUGAGGAUGAAAGCGUGGGACCGUAAGGCCUCGCGCGAUCGGAGCGGCCGAUGUCAGAUUAGGUAGUUGGUGGGGUAAAGGCUCACCAAGCCGACGAUCUGUAGCUGGUCUGAGAGGACGACCAGCCCCACUGGGACUGAGAAACGGCCCAGACUCCUACGGGAGGCAGCAGUGGGGAAUUUUGGACAAUGGGCGCAAGCCUGAUCCAGCAAUGCCGCGUGCAGGAAGAAGGCCUUCGGGUUGUAAACUGCUUUUGUACGGAGCGAAAAGGCUCUCUCUAAUACAGGGGGCUCAUGACGGUACCGUAGAAUAAGCACCGGCUAACUACGUGCCAGCCGCCGCGGUAA